AGGGUUCGAUUCUGGCUCAGGAUGAACGCUGGCGGCGUGCUUAAUACAUGCAAGUCGAACGAAGCACCUGCGACGGAUCCCCUUCGGGGGAGAAGAUGCUUGUGACUUAGUGGCGGACGGGUGAGUAACGCGUGGGUAACCUGCCUUACGCAGGGGGAUAACAGUUAGAAAUGACUGCUAAUACCGCAUAAGCGCACGGGGCCGUAUGGCCGUGUGUGAAAAAGAUUUAUCGGCAUAAGAUGGACCCGCGUCUGAUUAGGUAGUUGGUGAGGUAACGGCCCACCAAGCCCGCGAUCAGUAGCCGACUUGAGAGAGUGAUCGGCCACAUUGGGACUGAGACACGGCCCAGACUCCUACGGGAGGCAGCAGUAGGGAAUAUUGCACAAUGGGGGAAACCCUGAUGCAGCGACGCCGCGUGAGUGAAGAAGUAUUUCGGUACGUAAAGCUCUAUCAGCAGGGAAGAUAAUGACGGUACCUGACUAAGAAGCCCCGGCUAACUACGUGCCAGCCGCGGC
RNAcentral lists this ribosomal RNA (515 nucleotides) under uncultured bacterium. RNAcentral describes it as "bacterial SSU rRNA". It matches the Rfam family "Bacterial small subunit ribosomal RNA", at positions 8 to 518 of the family's 1533-position model. The record is from RNAcentral.